Transfer RNA from Volvox carteri f. nagariensis, 93 nucleotides. It matches the Rfam family "tRNA". From Rfam's summary of the family: Transfer RNA (tRNA) molecules are approximately 80 nucleotides in length. Lineage: Eukaryota; Viridiplantae; Chlorophyta; Chlorophyceae; Chlamydomonadales; Volvocaceae. The record is from Rfam.
CCGAUCUUAGCUCAGCUGGAAGAGCGAAGGACUGUAAUCGAAAGAUGCGAUGCUGAUAUCCUUAGGUCGCCUGUUCGAUCCAGGCAGAUCGGA